Molecule: transfer RNA, 62 nt
Filed under: Notochthamalus scabrosus
Lineage: Eukaryota; Metazoa; Arthropoda; Thecostraca; Balanomorpha; Chthamalidae
Description: tRNA-Cys
Source: RNAcentral
GGCGAUAUAUUUUAAUAUAAAAUAUUACCUUGCAAGGGUGAAGAUGUAUCUUACUAUCGCUU